UGAAUCCUUCUCUGGGUGCCUCCAAGUGCAUGAACUGGAGGCACGUUUCUGCUGGGAACAGUGGUCUUGUAUCCUCCUUCCCACAAAGCUGGUCUGCGGCUCCAGCCGCCCGCGCUGGCGUUGCCCUGGGGCGAGGUGUGCGGGGCGGCAGUGACGAGCUGCGCUCUGCCCGGGGCACGGCGAGGGGCUUCAGCAUCAUCCCAGGGCUGCGGGUACGCUGAGCCCCGCCGCACGGUCCUCGGGAGUUUUCCUCUGCAUGCCUUCCUCUGCACUCCUCAGACGAUCAGCAUUUUCACCUAUCUCUCAUGAGUGAACCCAGUGGUCACAAAGGCAGAAAUGGAGUAUUUCAAUCCCAUGUCAACAAGUGAAUGGAAAAAUGAGAGCAAUGAGAAAAUGCCGUUUGCCACAGCUACAAGUGCCUGGCAUGGAGGGACGCCGAGAGCCGCCUGCUGUUACCCCGCGCAGGGACAAGUUGUGGAGUCCUGGUCUACAGUCCCUUGGUUGUGGUACGUGGAUACCGCCAUGCUUCCAGAUGACACAUGCAGUACAAAAUUAACUGGUACCAAGGUAUUGUGAUGAAGCAGAAACAUUCGAUUUUCAUAUUCAAAAUGAAACUUAGAGAUAGAAUUUUCACUGAGGUUCUCAUGUACUUUUGGAACUAAACCCCAGUGCUUUGGCACAUGUUGAUUUUACAGCUAGUCUCAUGGGGAAGGAGAUUUUAAAAUUAUAGCCAGUUAAGUGGAUAGAUAGUUUGCCGAACACUACUUGUGUAGAUAAUAGUAGUAGGCCUCCAAGAUGGCCUGACGGAAUAGUUGUAAUUGACUUAGUCCAUUUUUACUUCCUAGCCAUUUAAACCUGCAUCUGGAAAUCCUUCUCUAAUUUCACAGCUGUGGUGCUGAAACACAUACUAGGGUGCAGUGGCGUUUAAUCAGUAUUAAAGAAGAUGGGAACUCCAGAGCAAACCAAACUUUGACAAGAUAAUUACCGAUGUAAAGCCAUAAAAAGGACAAUACUGAAAGACUCCUGCUGUUCCUAAGAGUAGAAGUUAAUGUCCCUGUUUGAUAGGGUUAAAGCUGAUUGAACAGUGUGCAGAUGUUAGACGCCCACAGCACUACAACCACUUUGACCAGGACAUUUAUUUAACACUGUUAUAAUUUAAAGAUCUCUGCUGCUGGUGACUUCCUCCUAACCUGUGUUACUAAUCUCACCUUUCUGGGUGCUCACAAAACCAGGCCUUUAUAAUUAAAAAUAGCUCUUGGGUGGAGCCCGUGCUCUUAUUCGGCCACUGUGACAAGAGGUGCCUUUUGCGAAUGCAUUCAGAAGUCCCUCUCUAGGCUGUUUUUUUAUCAUUGUUUUUGAUUUAUAAGGGGCUGGUUAACGCAUUUGGUAAGCCUAUAGAAUAGUCCUUUAUGGUUAAUUUAUAUUAUACCGGUACUAGUGCUGCCCUCGACCUAGAGCAGAGUCCACUCUCGGCUAAAGCAUGGGGUUUGUUGUUUGGCUCCUACCAGCUCUUGCUUUCUCUUACUGACCUACAGUGGACAAAAGACACUUUUUGAUGGGGUCACAGUCUAAGUCAAGAGUGGCCUAGAUCACAGUGGCACGACACAGUGUACUGACAGGUGGGAGACCAGAAUAUGUGUACAAAGUUGAGGUUUUGUGCACAAAGCAGUCCUCCCAACACCUAAUGCCAAAGAACGUGGAGGCAGAGGAUCUUCAGUUUGUAGUUGGCAUUGUUAAAUGUAAUACCAUGGGGAAACACAACUGAAAGUGAGAGGAUCAAAACCAAACUCCUGGCUCGAAAAACGUGUGGUUUUAAAGUUAUAUUAUAUUUCUUUUUGACUCAUGUAUCCUAUUUGGAUCUGGAUAAUCCUAAUGAACCUCACAAAGUAUCUGAGAGCACUCGAUUUAGCACAAAUUUGGCAAGGUAAAUUGAAUACUUAUUUCCCAGGUAGCUUAAAGAGAGGUGACAUUGAAAGAAGUGACACAAAAUUGAGAUUGCACAGCAUUUUAGGUAGAUGAUAGAUGCACACAAGAAGUGGCAGUAUUACCCUAGUGAUGUUUGCAGGGAUGUAGUCAAAGAAUGACAAGUGGUAUUUCAGUCUAUCUUGCAUGGCACCACACAGUCUUAUUACUUUGUUUUCCUGAAAAAACAGUGCCAACAUAUAUUUCUGUUUCUUGGUUCCAAAAAUAUAAAAUUAUAUAGAAAGAGGGGAAAAAAGGGUCUUGUAUUUCGUUUAGGCUGAAAGAGAAACACACAGGAAAGUGAAGUAAUAGAGAAAUUUAGAGAAAAGGAAAACUUAGGAACAGAUGUCACUGUUUAUUUUUAUUUCUCUCUCUGCUUCCCUAUGAUUAUAAUAAAUGAUCUCUUUUUGAGCUGAUUAGGGAAGAACAGGAUUACAGCAAGGUUGGACAGAAGCAUCAGAUAAAACAGAAUAUAACCCCACUUAAAUUCUCUAUUCAACAUUACUCCAAGAUGGAAUUAAAGCUCCCAUGUGGCUCUGGUGCUUUAAAUGAGUGAGGCUGUCAGAGUAGUGAACUCUCUUUAGCCACAUUUUGGAAAAAAAUUUUGAGAUGGAUUUCUAUCUGGUCCUUGAAUUGAUUUUUACGUUCUGGUAUGGAUGAACUAGACCAUCCACAUAUUUGGCUAUUUUAUGUUGAUUAAAACAUGAAUAAUAGGAAAGGCAAGUAAGGAUUCAGAGAUGUCAAAAGCAAAGGUCAUGUCAAAAACCCUGGGCCAUUCCACAUAUUUCUGUGCAACUGACAGUAUAAAAGACAAUUAUAUUGUUGAAGAGAAUGCUAGUUUGUCUGAACUAUGGGUAAAACUUUACAUUACUAAUGCUGAAGAAACAACUUAGCUACACUUUUUACUGUUCAUCCUGUUUGCCUGCUUUUUUCAUAUCUGAACUUGAAAAAUCAAAACAGACAUUUUUACAUUAGAUUUUUUAGCUCUUUGUUCCAAGUAUGUUUGUCACGUUCCAGAGUUUAGAAUAAAAUCCAAAUCCACUGCUCGUUGCAGUACACCCCUAAAGAAUUCUACACUAAAUAAAAGUAUUGCUAGUCACCUUUGUGUCAUUUUCUAAUAUAAGCCUAGAGAUCAAGUAGAUAGUGAGAAUUAAAAAUCCUAGCAAAACACCUGUGUUUUCAUGAACAUGAAUAUGACAAAACUUUUUUCAAACUUGAGUUACACUAACUUCUGUGAUAAAUACAUGGGCUUAUAAGAAGUUUCCACUUAGGAAACCCUCUCGAGUUAGAACACAAAUAAAAUGUGUUUUGCUUUUGGGGGAUUUUCUUUUUUCUUUGUAGUCAGAAAAAUCAUGCUAUUUAUCUAUCCCUUAGAGGAAAAUCAUUAUGCAGUUUCAGCAAGGUGUAACUGAGCAGAGACUCUCAGGUCACAGAAAGCCAAAAAGGUCUCAAAAAAUUGAUGUUGAUGAACUAAAACCAAAAUUACUGGAGUAUCUCCACCUAGCCUGAAUCACUUGAAAAGCCUUAAACAGGGCCAAACUAUGUGUGGAUUGUCACAAGCCACACAAAUUCAUGUUUUAGGAGAAACUGCUAAGUUUCGUUUUAAUUUAUGAACUAUUGCUUCUCACAAAAAUAUACAACAAGUGGCUUUUUACCUUCUCCUCCCAUAAAAUCAUAUGAAGCUUUUUGCCAGGCUAGUAAGCAUUAGCAAAAAUAUUAACGUUAGUUUUGUAUUGUAGGAAUCUAUCUCCUGGGAUAUAGAUACAGUAGCAUGAUUUAAAGCUUUACCAUAUCAAGGUUCUUUAAGUUCCUGCACAUGCUGCAAUUGUAAUAGAAUGUGUACAUUCUUUCUACAUUCAAAUGUUUUUUGUAUUAUAUUUUUUUCUAUUAAAAAAUGACACAUGAAACUGUACUUAGGAUUAAGAUACGACUGCUUCAUUAUAUAAUUCUCAUACUUUAAGGAAUUAUUUCCUUAAAAAAUGGUUCAAGCUGAAACUUGGCAUAUAAAGUUCUAGUUUGGGAAAGGCUGGGAUGCAGAAUGGUUUUACAAAGUUUCAUGUAAAUCAGCCUUGUAAUUUUUUAUUAUUUCUACAGAAGGGCAUAACACCCGUUUUAGUACCAUUUUUUGUUCUCUUAAUAUUUGCCGAGUCUUAAGUAGAAAUAAGCUAUUUUUCUGAGUUGUUUUCACAGUCUUUUCUUGUCAGUUUAAAUGAUUGUUUCAUCUUAAAUAGAAAGUUUACCAAGUCUCACAUCCUACUUAGUACUUGUUUUGCUUCUUUCAAAGCAUGUGUAGUGAUGAAUGUUUCAAGUUAAUUUAGUGCUAUGAAAGGUGCCAAACUGUCAGACAUGGAAACUAAAAUAGACUAUUUGUGCUGAGAAUGU
Molecule: non-coding RNA, 4344 nt
Organism: Phalacrocorax carbo (great cormorant)
Lineage: Eukaryota; Metazoa; Chordata; Aves; Suliformes; Phalacrocoracidae
Source: RefSeq, a predicted model, not a curated record